GUGGGGAAUUUUGGACAAUGGGCGAAAGCCUGAUCCAGCCAUGCCGCGUGCAGGAUGAAGGCCUUCGGGUUGUAAACUGCUUUUGUACGGAACGAAAAGACUCCUUCUAAUAAAGGGGGUCCAUGAAGGUACCGUAAGAAUAAGCACCGGCUAACAACGUUCCAGCAGCCGCGGUAAUACGUAGGGUGCAAGCGUUAAUCGGAAUUACUGGGCGUAAAGCGUGCGCAGGCGGUUAUAUAAGACAGAUGUGAAAUCACCGGGCUCAACGUGGGAACUGCAUUUGUGACUGUAUAUCUAGAGUACGAUAGAGGGGGAUGGAAGUCCGCGUGUAGCAGUGAAAUGCGUAGAUAUUCGGAGGAACACCGAUGGCGAAGGCAAUCCCCUGGACCUGUACUGACGCUCAUGCACGAAAGCGUGGGGAGCAAACAGGAUUAGAAACCCGUGUAGUCC
Molecule: ribosomal RNA, 450 nt
Filed under: uncultured bacterium
Lineage: Bacteria
Description: partial 16S ribosomal RNA
Rfam family: Bacterial small subunit ribosomal RNA
Source: RNAcentral